UGGAUGGUAUGAUCAUCGCAAAAGAGGACAACCGAGUUGGAGCUUUAAAAUUGGCUGGAGAGGAGGAGGAAGGAAAAAAUGAACAUAAAAAAUGACAUCUUUGUAUAUCUGAACAUGAUCUUGUAGUCAUAUAAAUGUCAUGAAAUGUUUAAGACUGCAAGUUUUGAAGGGUUUUAAAAAGGUUUGGUUGUUUGGUUCGCUGACAAAACAAGCCUAAGGGCAAUUUUUGGGACUGAACUCUAGUUUCUUUACAUUCGAAUUUUAAACCAUUAUCUGGGCUAUUUCUGUUACAAUUGCUAUAUUUGGUUGGAAAACUUGGAAUGACCAUGACUUCACUACUGAAUUCUUUAUGUUUUUCUCUUUUCAUCCUAUAUAUGUGAAUUAACUCUAGCUUUAAAGAUUUGGUGUUAAAGACAAGUGCAACUGUUAUUGUGAUGAUGGAAAAAGCCUUACUGAAGAUCGAUAAAAGAGCAAUUUUUUUCGAGAGGCUUCAUCCUACAUUAACUAGUGA
This 511-nucleotide long non-coding RNA is filed under the name Solanum tuberosum (potato). RNAcentral's name for it is "long non-coding RNA (STUB_LNC001559)". The record is from RNAcentral. Lineage: Eukaryota; Viridiplantae; Streptophyta; Magnoliopsida; Solanales; Solanaceae.